UACGAAGGGUGCAAGCGUUAAUCGGAAUUACUGGGCGUAAAGCGCGCGUAGGUGGUUCAGCAAGUUGGAUGUGAAAGCCCCGGGCUCAACCUGGGAACUGCAUCCAAAACUACUGAGCUAGAGUACGGUAGAGGGUGGUGGAAUUUCCUGUGUAGCGGUGAAAUGCGUAGAUAUAGGAAGGAACUCACCAGUGGCGAAGGCGAUCACCUGGACUGAAUACUGACACUGAGGUGCGAAAGCG
RNAcentral lists this ribosomal RNA (241 nucleotides) under uncultured Pseudomonadales bacterium. RNAcentral describes it as "partial 16S ribosomal RNA". It matches the Rfam family "Bacterial small subunit ribosomal RNA", at positions 524 to 761 of the family's 1533-position model. The record is from RNAcentral. Lineage: Bacteria; Pseudomonadati; Pseudomonadota; Gammaproteobacteria; Pseudomonadales.